RNAcentral lists this ribosomal RNA (460 nucleotides) under uncultured bacterium. RNAcentral describes it as "partial 16S ribosomal RNA". It matches the Rfam family "Bacterial small subunit ribosomal RNA", at positions 338 to 795 of the family's 1533-position model. The record is from RNAcentral.
CCUACGGGUGGCAGCAGUGAGGAAUAUUGGUCAAUGGGAGAGAUCCUGAACCAGCCAAGCCGCGUGAGGGAAGACGGCCCUAUGGGUUGUAAACCUCUUUUGUCGGAGAACAAAACCCGGGACGUGUCCCGGACUGCGUGUAUCCGAAGAAAAAGCAUCGGCUAACUCCGUGCCAGCAGCCGCGGUAAUACGGAGGAUGCGAGCGUUAUCCGGAUUUACUGGGUGUAAAGGGAGCGUAGACGGCAGCGCAAGUCUGGAGUGAAAUCCCAUGGCUUAACCAUGGAACUGCUUUGGAAACUGUGCAGCUGGAGUGCAGGAGAGGUAAGCGGAAUUCCUAGUGUAGCGGUGAAAUGCGUAGAUAUUAGGAGGAACACCAGUGGCGAAGGCGGCUUACUGGACUGUAACUGACGUUGAGGCUCGAAAGCGUGGGGAGCAAACAGGAUUAGAUACCCGGGUAGUC